Long non-coding RNA from Anguilla rostrata (American eel), 1955 nucleotides. RefSeq lists it as uncharacterized. Lineage: Eukaryota; Metazoa; Chordata; Actinopteri; Anguilliformes; Anguillidae. The transcript has 3 exons. The record is from RefSeq and is a predicted model, not a curated record.
CACAUGGUUGCGUGUACCGAAUGAAGCUUUGGACGUCAUUGAUCACGUGUUUAUGGCAGAAACUAAUCAAGCCUCGGCACACUGUUUCUAGUGCACUCUGGUGUUUUUCUGGACACACGCUCCUGAGCUUCAGUAUCAAGGGUAACACCACUCCUUUUGAGAUGUCUGUAUAGUACAUGUUCAGGGCCCAUUUAAAUUCUGCAUUGCUUCCAGUCAAAACUACGCUAUAUUGUGUGUGUGUGUGUCUCUGUGUGUCCAAGCGAGUGUUGAGUGUGUGCUCAUGUUGUGUGUUUGCAGGCUAAUUUGGGUUGGAAGCCACUUGUGGUCCAGUCUGGUCUGAUGUGCUCCUGUCUCCUUAGAUGGGGGGCGCUGUUUCUAAAACGAAUCUCUCAGAGGAGCCAGAGACCAAAGGAGGAACCCUCAGCAGUGAGAGGAAGAGGGUCCAGGUAGAAAGAGCAGGGUCACCUGUACCCAGCUGGCUGUCUCUGAAGAGUGAUCGUUCAAUGGAACUUCCAUACAAUUUCAGAGGAAAGGUCACAGGUGAUCAAAGGGUCCAGGUAGAAAGAGCAGGGUCACAUGUACCCAGCUGUGUGUCUCUGAAGAGUGAUCGUUCAAUGGAACUUCCAUACAAUUUCAGAGGAAAGGUCACAGGUGAUCACAGGUAAUUAAAUAGGCUUAAAUUGACACUACUAUUUAACCCCUUAACCCCAAGCAUUUAAAAAGGCAAUUUCCACCUGGUUUGGAGUGCUCUUAAAGGUCCAGGAAACUAGUCUGUGGUUAUAUUCCCCAGAAGUGACGACAGAUUUUCUUCUUAAUACUUCUUUCACGUUUUUAACAGAAUUAGAACCAUUGAAUUGUAAUAGACACGGUUAGAUUAUUGCGACCUGUUUAGCAGACAUGGGCAGGUUGGGUGUGUAUCCUGCGCUCAUUAACAUUCAUGUCAGGAUGCGUGGGGGGUUUGGACCCAAACGCAGAGGGUGGAAAAAUACAAAACUCCAAAUGAAAGAACAAAAAGACUUUACUUGAAACAAGGAAACAAAAAGGAACAAAAAGCCUCGCAGGGCAACCUUCAACAAACCAAGGAAAACUUAGAAACAGCACAGGAACAAAGGAAAUGCAGAAAAUCCAAAAACACAAGGGAACCAGAACAUGGGCUGGAACACAUGGAGCAGGUACUUGGGUAGGGGCUUACGCACAACACAACCGGACAUAACCACAAGGAUCCAGCACCUGAGUCAAGGAAGAGGGAAACUUAAAUAGAACAGACACUGACGAGACACAGGAGGGCACCAUGAACAAUCAGGCCACAGAGAGGGAAGGGAAAACGAGACAACCAAGAACCAAUAAUAGGACAAUUGGAAACAAUCAUACAAUUACACAGGGGGAGCAGGACACAAAACCGAAGUGCCGCCAUCUGGCGGCACCAACAGGGAAAACGCAGACAGGAACACAGGACCAUGACAGUACCCCCCCCCCCCCCCCAAGGGACGGCUCCUGACUUCCCAGGAGGCCGAACUGGGGAGGGAGUGAACAGAGGGUGGGAGCUGGGGACAGGACUCGACAGGAACAGGAACUCAGGGCUGGACUGGACAGGAGCGGAACUCAGGGCUGGACAGGACUCAGGAACUGGACUCGGGACUGGAACAGGAACAGGACUCGGGACUGGACAGGACAGGACAAGACUCAGGGCUGGACUGGACAGGACAGGACAAGACUCAGGGCUGGACUGGACAGGACAGGACAAGACUCAGGGCUGGACAGGGCUGGACAGGGCAGGACUGGAACUCAGGGCUGGACUGGAAUGGACAGGAACUCGGGGCUGGACAGGAACUCGGGGCCAGGACUCGGGAACUGGAGUGCCUGUGGGCUCCAGAAUUAAAACCCAUUUCUUGUAGGUCUCUUCAUUUUUGGCAAAAGAAAAGAAUGUAUUGCUUUCUCCACAUCCAGAGAAGGGG